GUCCAAAGAAAAGAGAUAAAAACCUCUUAAAACUUAAAAUCAAAAUCCUUUAGGCGCAGUCUCCUUCAAAACCACCGGUUCUUCAGCCAUUGACAAGCAAUACUUAGCAAUCUCUCUGAACUUAGGCACACUCCUAAGAUCAACCUUAGUACCAUCUUUCAAGGUAAUCACAAUAUCACCCCAUUCGCCUAUAAAACGCGGCACGACUUGCACAUCCUUAAUCACCUUGUAAGAGAAAUCACUCCUGUCUUGACCUGUCAACCCUGAAAUCACCGUCACACGUAGGUUCGUGAACCUGUAUCUCAGAUAAAAGGCCCUCGACACUGCAGCUAGAGUCAAUGGUAGCCAAAGCAGAGUGAAACCCAGUAGCAGAUUGGCUACGAGGUCCCCGUAGUGUGCUCCACCGUCGAAAAAGGUUGUUUCUUCCUUAGAUUUUUUUGAGGGGGUGGUGGUAAUGGGUUUGUUGGUCGG
RNAcentral lists this unclassified non-coding RNA (471 nucleotides) under Hevea brasiliensis (rubber tree). Lineage: Eukaryota; Viridiplantae; Streptophyta; Magnoliopsida; Malpighiales; Euphorbiaceae. The record is from RNAcentral.